Camellia sinensis is the source of this 1769-nucleotide non-coding RNA. The record is from RefSeq and is a predicted model, not a curated record. Lineage: Eukaryota; Viridiplantae; Streptophyta; Magnoliopsida; Ericales; Theaceae.
AACGCGCAAAAUAUCCCUCUCUCUCUCCUCAACUGCCUCGCUUCCCUCAUCCUCUUUUCUCUCUCUCGCUCUCUCUCUCUCUACACUCAUGAGAAGCUGAACUGAGAGCCCCGUCCUUCCCAAAACCCUGCAAAUCCACCAAAUUCCAUGGCGAAAACCCUAAUCUCAACCCCUUCCUUCACCGGCACGCCUUUCCCUUCCCUCUCUCGCCAUGGCCUCCGCACCUUACCUCAUCGCAGACUCAUAUCCACCAGAGUCAAGCUCAGCUUCCAUGAGCUUCCUCCAAUUCACUCCUUCGACUCUUCUUUUGAUUUCAACGCAAUUGUUAGCAGAGCGGAGAGCCUCCUUUACACGCUCGCCGAUGCCUCCGUCGCCGUCGAUUCUGCCUCCGGUGAUGCCGCCGUUCAGAAGAACGGAGGCUGGUUCGGUUUUGUCUCUGACGCCAUGGAAGUUGUCUUGAAGGUACUGAAGGAUGGACUCACAGCAGUGCAUGUACCUUAUGCCUACGGAUUUGCAAUUAUUUUGCUCACGGUUCUCGUUAAAAUUGCAACUUAUCCCCUGACAAAGAAACAGGUUGAAUCAACACUGGCAAUGCAAAACCUUCAACCAAAGAUCAAAGCGAUCCAAGAAAGAUAUAAGGGAAAUCAGGAGAGAAUACAACUUGAGACAUCACGGCUCUAUAGGCAAGCGGGGGUUAAUCCUUUGGCAGGAUGUUUGCCUACUUUGGCAACAAUACCAGUCUGGAUUGGUUUAUACCAAGCUCUUUCAAAUGUGGCAAAUGAGGGACUGCUGACAGAAGGUUUCUUUUGGAUCCCCUCCUUGGGAGGCCCAACUACGAUAGCUGCUCGGCAAAGUGGAUCCGGAAUUUCUUGGCUUAUUCCGUUUGUGGAUGGCCAUCCACCACUGGGUUGGCACGACACUGCAGCGUACCUUGUUUUGCCUGUCCUUCUUGUUCUUUCUCAGUAUGUUUCAAUGGAGCUCAUGAAGCCUCCACAGACUGAUGAUCCAGCUCAAAAGAACACACUUCUCAUUUUCAAGUUUCUCCCUCUCAUGAUUGGUUACUUUUCCUUGUCUGUCCCAUCAGGACUGUCAAUUUACUGGUUCACGAACAAUGUCCUUAGCACUGCACAACAAGUAUGGUUACGCAAAUUAGGCGGUGCAAAGCCUGUUGUAAGUGAGAAUGCAAGUGGCAUCAUCAGUGCAGGACGUGCUAAACGAUCGGGCUCUCAGCCAGCGCAGCCUGGUGAUAGGUUUAGGAAGUUAAAGGAUGAAGAGAAGAAAAAAUUGAGCAAGGCACUGCCUACAGACCAGGUUCAGACUCCGGCUUCUACAGAUGCUUCUGAAGACGGUUCAGAUAAAGAGACUAAUGCCAAGGAUGAAGAGGUUUUAGAUGAGGUGUAUGCUUCUAAUGGAACCAAACCGGCUCCAGAUUAUUCUAGGCCAAAGAGGAGUAAGCGAUCAAAGCGGAAGCGUGCGAAAGGGAGAGAAUACUCUUUAUACUUACCCAAGCGGUGAAAAUUUGUCCAUUGGUCUGCCUUGAUCCGGGUUUUGCAGGUCUGAGCUUGAAAUCAACUAUACAUGGAUCGCAAUUGCAAAGCAUUAGAUUCAAUAAUGAGUUGGAAGAGAAGGCAGGGGUGUCUUGCCUGAUCGUGUAGCUUGAACCUUGGUAUGGCAUUGAAAUGCAAAUGCUGUAAGCAGAAGCCAUAGUAAGAGAAGAUGGAUUAGAGUCUGUGCUCUCCUCAUCUGGGGCUUGAGCUUGAGCUUUGGUU